This is a non-coding RNA of Nothobranchius furzeri (turquoise killifish), 2709 nucleotides long. The record is from RefSeq and is a predicted model, not a curated record. Lineage: Eukaryota; Metazoa; Chordata; Actinopteri; Cyprinodontiformes; Nothobranchiidae.
UAAUUCAUAAACCCCACAUGGUCAAAAGAUGAGGAGUGAUGCAAAUCCAAUGUCUGUAAAUCCUCCAACUUUUCAUUUUUGGUGAACAAAGUUUCUAUAUUUCAGGUUAUUGCACCAUCAGUGGGAGCAUAUGGGACUAUGCAGAUUAAAUGCAGUGACCUGGCAGAGAGUCCAGAAAAGCUGAUGAGAGUCGGGUAGACGUCACAAUGCAAUGGAUUUGCUGGCAAAAACUGUACCUCGAACGUGGAUCAGACGGACACCCUGCACUCGUUAGUUUAUUGCUCUCUUAUUAGGAACAUUUUUUUGCCUUGCAUGGAUUGGCAGAGUCCUGCGAGCCACCCUCUUCACAUGGCCCAGGCUCUGUCAGAACUGAUCAAAAGACGUUUCUUCACAUCUCCAGAUGCCAGGAAAGAAGAAGAAAAGAGGAAGAGAAGAAAAGAACCAGAAGGGGGCAUACUGCUCCCUCUUUACUCUGGUCUUUUGGUGAAUAAGGACUUUUCACAAUACCCUCUCCUUUUUUCUUUUUUUCAGUCUUUCUCUGGCAAAACAGAGAGAGAGAGAGAGAGAGAGAGAGAGAGAAUGCAUUUCUAAACGCGUUUUGCCAAAUUGUUCUUGCCAUAUCAAAAACAAUUAUCCUCAGGUGAAGGAUGUGCCUGCAGAACUACAACCAUUCCAGAGGGAAAAAGAGGUCUUCACAAAUCUGACUGGCUUCCAGGCAGCAAGACCCCCUCGAAGUGGUGAUGAAAAGUGUAACUUUAACCUCCCAGCUGUACGUCUCAAUCCAUAAUCCUUCCCCAAAAACCUCACCGUAGAGCCGCCUACCACUCCCAUGGCGUUCCCAGCCUUUGCCGGGCAGGGCCUGCACUGAUUUAUGUGGCGGUCCCGAGUCAUACUCACAACCUGAAAAGGAUUUGCUCUCCUAUAUUUACUGGGGUAGUUAGGGCAGCUCUUUGGAAACACAGGAAGCCCUUUCUCUGGGCCUCACUCCCACUCCUUCUGAGACACUCUCUUCUGUCUCAGGAACAUGGACAUUUUGGACCUUACCAGAACCAGAGGAGACUUUUUAGGAUGGAGUAUUUCCACAGAGCAGAGGUCAGAGUCCACGCACUCACACCUCGCCGCCACAUGGCCACGUUUUGCUCUCGGGGCCCAGCAGGGUCCCAGCACAGGUCACAAGAGGCCUCCGCAUCCCAGGGAUGAGACUCCAGACUGGCAUGAAGAGGAGCGUUUGAUGUGGCCCUUCGCUAGGCUAUGUUACUGUGUUGCUAUGGCUUUAAUUAGCUCCAGCAGCUGCAGCUGCUGCUGCUUCCUGGUGGACUGACCACAACAAACUGCACUGUCUCUGUAAUGUCUUACAGUUAAUGGGUCAGCGCGCUACAGUCCAACAUUUGGUGACAUCUUCAAAGAGGAAAUCACUGCAGCGGAUCAUCACUGUCUCCAGCCUGGCUUAUAAAUCUAACACUACUUUUUUAAGUCUGGAUGGUCUUUUUAUUAAUCAGUUUUGGAUUAAUGGCCAAAUCAACUCCUUAAUUUUAUGCCAACUACAGUUUAUUUAUUUCCAUUUCUUUCUUUUACAGUGAAGAGAAUAUCCAUAUCAGUUCCUCAGUUAGAGUGUACAGGUGAAACUCAAAAAAGUGUAAUAUGGUGCAAAGUUAAUUAACUCGUCCAUCAUUUUUCUUAGACUGCGAGACCAUCUAAAGAUUCAGGAACCCUUUGCAGGAGCUUUGUAGCUGAGAGUGUGACACUUUCAGUCUAGAAUAUUUAACCUUUUCACAAUAUUCUAAUUGUCUGAGAUUUUGAAUUUGGGGGUUUUGUCAGCUGUGAGCCAUAAUCACAAUUAUGACAAAUAAAGGCUUGAAAUAUCUGAAUUUGCAUGGAAUGAGUCUGUAUCACAUAUUAGUUUCACCUUUUAAGUUGAAUUACUGACAUAAAUGAAUUUUUCCACCAUAUUCUAAUUGUUCAAGUUUCACGUGUGUUACUUUAAAUCACUGGUGCAAAAAAAAAAUUGACCGUUUAGCACGUUUUUAUUGUAAAAUUAAAACAGCAUUUCAGGUUAGUAUGCACACCCAGAUCCUAAACAAACCGAACCCGAUAAGAUCUGUUUCAUCAGGACAGUACUGUACGUGAAGAGUUAUGAGGACUCUGACAGACGCAGUGUAGGAGUUGACUAAUAAUAAAUAUUAUUUUAGCUUGCUAGCACUGAUGAGCUGUUGCAGGCAACACUUCACCUUCUAUAGCUGAUAUGAAGUGACAUUUAGUUUUGCAUCAAGCUUUCAGUGACAGUUUGUGUGUUGUAAAUGUUUCAGAAACAAACUUAUCCAAAUAAAUAAUGAGAGAACUAAAGAAAGCCCAUUUCCUGCAAUGCAUCUUGGGUGCUUUCUCCAAAAACAUGUAAUUCAUUAGCACAAUGAAGAGUUACGUGUCUAAUUAUCUACCGUAUGUUAUACUUAGACGUGUGUGUGUGUUGGAACAGUGUGUGGCUAGUUGUGUCCAUGUGCCAAUAAGAGUGUGCCCAUGUGUGGGUGCAUGGGUGCUCCACUGUUACUCGUUGUGUGUGUGUGUGUGUGUGUGUGUGUGUGUGUGUGUGUGUGUGUGUGUGUGUGUGUGUGUGUGUGUGUGUGUGUGUGUGUGUGUGUGUGUGUUGCACAGUCCAUUAGUAGAGUUUAACCCCUCUGUUCAGGGAGUCACAUCCCCACAUCACACCCGGCU